GACGAACGCUGGCGGCGUGCUUAACACAUGCAAGUCGAACGGAAAGGCCCUGCUUUUGUGGGGUUCUCGAGUGGCGAACGUGUGAGUAACACGUGAGUAACCUGCCCUUGACUUUGGGAUAACUUCAGGAAACUGGGGCUAAUACCGGAUAGGAGCUCCUGCUGCAUGGUGGGGGUUGGAAAGUUUCGGCGGUUGGGGAUGGACUCGCGGCUUAUCAGCUUGUUGGUGGGGUAGUGGCUUACCAAGGCUUUGACGGGUAGCCGGCCUGAGAGGGUGACCGGCCACAUUGGGACUGAGAGACGGCCCAGACUCCUACGGGAGGCAGCAGUGGGGAAUAUUGCAAAAUGGGCGGAAGCCUGAUGCAGCAACGCCGCGUGCGGGAUGACGGCCUUCGGGUUGUAAACCGCUUUCGCCUGUGACGAAGCGUGAGUGACGGUAAUGGGUAAAGAAGCACCGGCUAACUACGUG
Molecule: ribosomal RNA, 468 nt
Filed under: uncultured bacterium
Lineage: Bacteria
Description: partial 16S ribosomal RNA
Rfam family: Bacterial small subunit ribosomal RNA
Source: RNAcentral